UACGUAGGGGGCAAGCGUUGUCCGGAAUCAUUGGGCGUAAAGCGCGUGUAGGCGGCUUCGUAAGUCCGUUGUGAAAGUCCAGGGCUCAACCCUGGAAUGCCGAUGGAUACUGCGGAGCUAGAGUCCGGAAGAGGCGAGUGGAAUUCCUGGUGUAGCGGUGAAAUGCGCAGAUAUCAGGAGGAACGCCAAUGGCGAAGGCAGCUCGCUGGGACGGUACUGACGCUGAGACGCGAAAGCGUGGGGAGCAAACAGG
Molecule: ribosomal RNA, 253 nt
Filed under: uncultured bacterium
Lineage: Bacteria
Description: partial 16S ribosomal RNA
Rfam family: Bacterial small subunit ribosomal RNA
Source: RNAcentral